RNAcentral lists this long non-coding RNA (232 nucleotides) under Gallus gallus (chicken). The record is from RNAcentral. Lineage: Eukaryota; Metazoa; Chordata; Aves; Galliformes; Phasianidae.
UCCAUAUGCAGGUGGUUCCUUGAAUCGAUCUAAUUUUCUGAUGUCAUCCAGGGUGUUGAUCUCUGGAGACAAGCCACCAUGUACACACAGGAACUGUUGGUUCAUCAGAGCAGCCAAGGGAAGGCAGUCAAAGGCAUCCAUGCAGGCAUCAUAUACUCGUUCUGAAUAUUUGAUUUUACAUUCUUGCUUAAAUGUGAAAUACUCUGUUAAAUGUCUACAUUCAUGAUUCCCA